UCAUUGUUUUUGCCUAGACACAUCUC
This 26-nucleotide non-coding RNA is filed under the name Rattus norvegicus (Norway rat). Lineage: Eukaryota; Metazoa; Chordata; Mammalia; Rodentia; Muridae. The record is from RNAcentral.